RNAcentral lists this ribosomal RNA (277 nucleotides) under Aporrectodea trapezoides. RNAcentral describes it as "partial 12S ribosomal RNA". Lineage: Eukaryota; Metazoa; Annelida; Clitellata; Crassiclitellata; Lumbricidae. The record is from RNAcentral.
GCCGUCGUAAGCACACCUCUAAAAGUACGAGUAUGCAACUAUGUCAAACUCAUAUACGUCAGGUCAAAGUGCAGCUAAUGAAAGGGGCGACGAUGGGUUACACCCUAAAUAAAGAUACGAAAUAUGGCACCAAAAGCCACAUGAAGGUGGACUUGGACGUAACAAAAAUACAAAAUUAAAAUGAAAACGAAUCUGAGACAUGCACACAUCGCCCGUCACUCUUGCCCAAAGGUGAGAUAAGUCGUAACAAAGUAGGUGUAACGGAAGUUGCACCUGU